RNAcentral lists this long non-coding RNA (623 nucleotides) under Mus caroli (Ryukyu mouse). RNAcentral's name for it is "predicted gene 13647 (MGP_CAROLIEiJ_G0005395.1)". Lineage: Eukaryota; Metazoa; Chordata; Mammalia; Rodentia; Muridae. The record is from RNAcentral.
CCAAACCACAAUGGAACACAAAGGGACUGUAGACAUCUUAAGCAGUGUUGCUUUAGGAAGCAUUAAUGUUUUUUGUUGUUGUUGUGGUUAAUCAAGUCCAUUUCUCCCAGCUGUCUUCCAGAGCCCUCCCAACCUCCUGUGUAGGUGGAGUGGGAGGGUGGGGGGGGGGGGGCUCAUGGAAGUGUGUUUGGGGUGGUCCUCUGAAACUGUCUAGAAGUACUGCUGGUUGCCUCUAGCAUGUCUGCCUUGGGGAAGAUUCAGGGCUCCAGCAGAGCCAUCAAAUAUCUCUUCUUCAGAUCAACUGGACAAAGGAGGUUGGUGUACAUAUACCCUGUCUGCUGUUGUCCAGAAAAGAACUCCUCUUCCUGUUAAGCAUCGCAACAAACCAGUUGGACAGGACUCUGCAGCAUUGAGGCAGCCUGGAGUACCUUUGUAGGCUAUGUCCAGGGAUCAGAAGGUCAGCAGGAGUCAGCGAGGCUGGGUCACUAGAUCCCCCCCUUGUUGGAACUUGUAGGUCACAGUGACAUCCAACGGAUUCAUUAACAUAGCAAUCGCGAAAGAGACUAGAAGGCCCGGCUUCCGGCGAAUGCCACGCUUUUGUUUUAAAUCCCCACAUUGAAUCC